Molecule: ribosomal RNA, 2818 nt
Filed under: freshwater metagenome
Description: bacterial LSU rRNA
Rfam family: Bacterial large subunit ribosomal RNA
Source: RNAcentral
UGAGCGUACGGUGGAUGCCUUGGCGUUAAGUGCCGAAGAAGGACGUGGCAACGCUGCGAAAAGCUUGGGGGAGUCGCUAGCAGGCAUUGAUCCCAAGAUCUCCGAAUGGGGCAACCCAAUAGAAAUAUUACUGCGUAAGCAGAGGGAACCGGGGGAACUGAAACAUCUAAGGUACCCCGAGGAAAAGAAAGUAUCCCCGUAGUAGUGGCGAGCGAAUCGGGGAAAGCCCAAACCAGUAUCGUGUCAAGCCGUCUGGCGUUGCGAUAUUGGGGUUGUAGGACAACUAGCGGAAACAGACGCGACCGCACAUGAGCGAUCACAGGGAAUCAGAAAGUGCUGGGACGCACUGCCAAAGAGCAUGAGAGCUGCGUAUGAAAAUCCGUGUGACCCGUGAGUUGUAUCCUGAGUAGUGCCGGGCACGUGAAACCCGGUAUGAAGCUGGGGAGACCACUCUCCAAGGCUAGCUACACUUAACGACCGAUAGCGAACAAGUACCGUGAGGGAAUGGUGAAAAGAACCCCGGCGAGGGGAGUGAAAAGAACCUGAAACCGUACGCUUACAUGCAGUCGAAGCACUAGGUCAGCAAUGACAGUGUGACGGCGUGCCUUUUGGAGUAUGAUCCGGCGAGUUACCCGAUGUGGUAGGUUAAGUCAGUGAUAGACGGAGCCACAGCGAAAGCGAGUCUGAAUAGGGCGAUAAUCGCAUCGGGUAGGCCCGAAACCGCUUGAGCUAUCCAUGGUCAGGGUGAGGCGUCAGUAAGAUGACGUGGAGGCCCGAACCGGUGUGUGUUACAAAACGCUCGGAUGAACUGUGGAUAGGGGUGAAAUGCCAAUCGAAAGCGGAGAUAGCUGGUUCUCCCCGAAAUGCAUUGAGGUGCAGCCCAGGGGAAGUGAUAUACGAGGUAGAGCACUGUUGUUGUGCGGGGGCUUCACCGCCUACCAAGCGACGGCAAACUCCGAAUGCGUAUAUGACGUACCUGGAGUGAGACAGUUGGCGCAAACGUUGAUUGUCGAGAGGGAAACAACCCAGACCCGCUGCUAAGGUCCCAAAAUUAAUGCUGAGUGGGAAAGGAUGUGUCGUUGCACAGACAGCCAGGAGGUUGGCUUAGAAGCAGCCACCCUUUAAAGAGUGCGUAACAGCUCACUGGUCGAGUGACGAUGCGCCGACAAUCCAACGGGGCUAAAGCAUUAUACCGAAGCACGGGAUAGAGAAAUCUAUGGUAGGGGAGCGUCGUAUACGCAAUGAAGCAUCAGCGGAAGCCAGUGUGGAGUGUAUACGAGUGCGAAUGCCGGAACGAGUAACAGAGAAGGGGAGUGAAAACCUCCCCCGCCGAAAAUCUAAGGGUUCCGCCGCAAGGGUGAUCCGCGGCGGGUUAGUCGGGCCUAAGGGAAACACUAACGUGUUAGCCGAUGGAGAACAGGUAGACAUUCCUGUACUACACACGACUGUUUGACCGACGAGGGAAGCUGAGUGGUAGGUGGAGCGAUCAGACGAGGAUCGUUUAAGCGUGUAAGGAGACUGCGGGUUAAAAUACGUGGUUGUUGACUGAGGCGCGAAUACGAGUGGGGGAGCAAUCCCACCGCGAGUCCACUAAGCCUGUGCAGACGAGAAAUGCCCUCUAGGGAGGAAAUGUGUAUCCGUACCGCAAACCGACACAGGUAGAUAGGCUGAGGAAGCUAAGGCGGACGAGUGAUCCCUGGUUAAGGAACUCGGCAAUUUGACCCCGUACCUUCGGUAGAAGGGGUGCUCUUGGAGGUGAAAGCUGUACAGCUGGAGCGUCCGAGAGUUGCAACAAAGAGGCCCAGGCGACUGGAUAACAGAACCACAGGUCCAUGCUAAAGCCGUAAGGCGAUGUAUAUGGGCUGAUGCCUGCCCAGUGCCGGAAGGUUAAAAGGAGAUGUGCAAGCAUUGAAUUGAAGCCCCGGUGAACGGCGGCAGUAACUAUAACUGUCCUAAGGUAGCGAAAUUCCUUGUCGGGUAAGUUCCGACCCGCACGAAAGGCAUCACGAUCUGGGCAGUGUCUCGACCAGGGGCUCGGUGAAACUGCGAUAGCCGUUAGGACGCGGCUAACUCAUAGCAGGACAAAAAGACCCCGUGGAGCUUUACUACAACUUGUCAUUGUGUGCGGUCUACAGCUGCGUAGCAUAGGUGGGAGCCGAAGAUACGGACCUUGCGGGGUUCGGGGAGGCACUAGUGAAAUACCACUCUGUUGUAGAUUGCGCACUCACAUCUGAAUAGAUGGACCGUGACUGGCGGGUAGUUUGUCUGGGGCGGACGCCUCCCAAAAAGUAACGGAGGCGCGCAAUGGUUCCCUCAGGUGGGAUGGCAAUCCACCGACGAGUGCAAAAGCAAAAGGGAGCUUGACUGCAAGGCAAACAGGCCGCGCAGAGACGAAAGUCGGCUUUAGUGAUCCUACAGCGCUUAGUGGAAGGGCUGUAGCUUAUCGGAUAAAAGCUACCCCGGGGAUAACAGGCUGAUCUUGCCCAAGCGUUCACAGCGACGGCAAGGUUUGGCACCUCGAUGUCGGCUCGUCGCAUCCUGGGGCUGGAGUCGGUCCCAAGGGUUGGGCUGUUCGCCCAUUAAAGCGGCACGCGAGCUGGGUUCAGAACGUCGUGAGACAGUUCGGUCUCUAUCCGCUAUGAGCGUUUAGUACACUGAGGGGAGCUGAUCUUAGUACGAGAGGACCGGAUUGGACAGACCGCUGGUGGAGGAAUUGUGGGGCGUCCCGCAGGUUCCGUAGCUAAGUCUGGACGUAAGAACCGCUGAAAGCAUCUAAGUGGGAAAUACCCCCCAAGAUGAGUGUACUCACUGAAUUUGU